Molecule: long non-coding RNA, 451 nt
Filed under: Pan troglodytes (chimpanzee)
Lineage: Eukaryota; Metazoa; Chordata; Mammalia; Primates; Hominidae
Description: long non-coding RNA NONPTRT011015
Source: RNAcentral
CGGGGCUUCCCUGAGGCGCGCCGAGAGGCGGUGGCCCACUUCCGGCAAUAAUCGCCUGGUCGCCGUCAGGUGCCGGCCCAGGUGGCAGGCGCGCCCGUUGGGCACUGGGGGACGCGGGCGCGUCAGGUGAAGACUGGGGGCUGCAGGCGCCUUAGGAGAACUAUGCCAUUUUUGGGUCAGGACUGGAGAUCUCCUGGAUGGAGUUGGAUUAAGACAGAAGAUGGCUGGAAGAGUUGUGAAUCUUGUAGUCAGAAACUUGAAAGAGAGAAUAACCAUUGUAACAUCAGUCACAGCAUGAGCUUCGGGUCCACCUGUUUGGAAGCACCCAGGCGGCUUGGAGAGGUCCGGCCUUCGGGUGCGACCCGCAGGGGUUGCCUUGCCCGGCUCGCGGAACGGACGUUUACCUGUCGCAGCUACGAACCCACCAACGACACCAAGCACUUGCCGGGCA